RNAcentral lists this long non-coding RNA (364 nucleotides) under Nicotiana benthamiana. RNAcentral describes it as "long non-coding RNA (NBEN_LNC011859)". Lineage: Eukaryota; Viridiplantae; Streptophyta; Magnoliopsida; Solanales; Solanaceae. The record is from RNAcentral.
GCAUUAUCAGCGCCCUCAGCGCCAUCAUCUCCCCCGGGGUAGAAGGGUCAAAACCAUAGUCAAGGCAGGCUUCACGAGCCUUUUGGCGUGACUCCUCGUAAGUGGCUUCAGACACGACGCCAGCCUCCCACAACCGCCUGUACACGUCGAGCUGAGCCUCAGCAUACGUCCAAAGCUCGCAAGCAGGACCAAAAGCAGUGACCUGAUACCUCCGGCGUUGGUUCUCGGCCUCCAAGGCCACAAUUCGAUCCACCGCAACACGAGCAUCUCGAUCGCAGACGGUAAUACGCCCCUCUAACGAUCGUUCUCGAAAAAAGCGACGGCCCUCUCUAAUCCACGCUCCCUUUCCUGGGCACGGUUGGUC